GUUCUCUCCGCCCAGCGGCCGACCAGUUGCCAGCUGCUGAGGAGAAUGAGCUUGGAGCGGCAGGGCUUAACCCAGCGCGGCUCCGAGGUGAGUUGCUGAAGGACUCUGGGAGGCAGCUGCAACAGGGCAUCACUCAGUGUCCAAGUAUUUCCAUUUCUGAGAGCAAAAGGAAGAACUUAAGCGGGCGGCAGUUGGAGUGUAAAUUGCUUUGUAGUAUUUAAAAGCAGCGUGGAUCGUGGGCAGCUGAGCUGAAACAAACCAACAGGACUUCAUAUGAAAUCAUUGACCACCACGUGCUCCUUCCACCUCCAUUAACUCCUAAUUCUAGGCACAUGAGAGCCAAAGGAAACCACAGAGCCACAGGCACUCACUCACAGCCCUGAAGCAGCUGCUCACAAAGGCAGUGUCGCAGGGCGAGUGUCAGUCUGCCUGGCAAUCUCCUACAACUGAGGGGAAAUAAGAUACCAGAAUGGAUAAGCAGAAGUAACUGAGACUCUCCUGUCUGCCUGGACCUUCAGAGGCUGACUUCAGCUGAAGCACCAAGAGACAUCUUAUGGCUGAAUUCACACAUGAAAAACAUGACUCGGUAAAUAUUCCAUCUUCCUUCUCUAGCCAGAAGCACAGUCGCCAUGACUGACAGUUAUUGAAUCCUAACUUACAAGUGCUUGUUUCCUGGGAAUUGAUUAGAUUAGCCAGAAGAGUUCCUGAUGGACACAUGCAGCCAAUGGAAGCCACAUAUCACUGCUGGGUUAUCAGAAAGGAAUCCUGCCCUACACGUAGAACAAGAGAGUGAAAAGAGUCAGUGUUGGGCUCUGGAUGUAAAUGAUCACUGGCUCUCAUUGGUUGGCAAUUUCUCACUCUUUGUAGAAUACUGCACUGAUUUGACUCGGUGAAAGAUGACUGGGAAAAAGGUUUGCACAUGUGUAUCAAUGUUUAAUUCCUUCCCAUGGCCACUAAGGAGAAUUUACCUUUGUCUACUCAGGCUUUUCAAUUUUUCAUUUCUUUUCUCUACCACCAGAAUUGUUGUUAGCUAGCCUCACCGUACAAAGCACAGCACUGGAGAGAGCUGGAGAGUUGCAUCUUUAAUUGAUUUGCUCUGAGUCAUGUCUACAUCAGAGGGAUAGCUCGACUUGCACUGGAGGUACUAAUGGGGGAAAAUCAUUACCAUGCUCAGCAUAAUCAGAUAAAGAGGAAAUGGACUAGAGAGACAAGAAUCUGCGCAAGGGAAAAUGUGCUUCUGAGAAGAAAAGAGAAUUUUGAGGAGACUCUAUCCUGCUUAUGAGAGGACAUGGCUGUGAAAUGUUAACCAACCAAGGAUAUUAUUUGAAAAGAAAAAAAGUUAUUCAGCAAAAUGGAAAAAGUAAAGAAAGGAAAUGGCAUUGGAUAUUGAGAGGCAGCAUGAGCUAAGCGUGGCACAGCAGAAGAUAAGUGAUCAGAAAGAAGACUUGUUGACUUCAGACUUGGAACAUUCUUCUUUGAAUGGAUGAGACUUGACUGUUCAAGAAAACAACAGCUUGUCCUGUGUACAAUUCUGAGUACUCGCUGAUGGAAAAUUAAAGACUGAAUACCAAAAGACAAAGGAGCUGUUUUCCUGGAGUCCUUCUUGGGCUCUGAGCACAGCAGUGGUGAGCUAGGCAGCAGAGGUGAAGUGUGGAGCUUGAGGAGCAAAAGACGAAAGAGGCAGAUUUGGACACAGGGACACAGACGCACACAGAGAGAAGACAGCUGUGUGAAAUUGGAGGCAGAAAUUGGAGUGUGCUGCUACAGCCAAGGAAUGCCAAGGAUUGCCCGCAACCAUCAGAAUCCAGAAAGAGGCAAGAAAGGAUUCUUCCCUGGAGCCUUCAAAGAGAACAUGACCCAACAGACAUCUGGAUUUCAGACUUCUCGCCUCCAGAACUAUGAGAGAAUAAAUUUCUUUUGCUUUAGGUCAUCAGUUCGUGGUGAUUUCUUAUGGAAGCCCUAGGAAACUAGUACAGUCCGCAUCAUCCACGACAUGCCGACCAUAAUGGCCUUCUUUUAGAUCUUCAAACACAUGAAGUGCCUUGACUCCUUUGCAUAGGCUGUUCACUUCAUCUGGAAUGCUUUUCCUCAGAUCCCUCCAUGGCUGGCUUUUGCUUUUUGUUAAGGACCUACACAGGCCAGAGACCUUCCCUGAUGACCUAAAUUAAAGCAGGCAGUCAUUUACGCUCCACCACAUCGGUCUAAUUUAUGUCCUACAUAGAAACUAUAUUAAUAUUUUUCUUUUUUAUCUAUUUUGUUUCUUUGUGGGUUUGUUUAUUUUUUGUUCCUCCACCACUAGAAUAUAAACUUUAUGAGAACAAGAAUUUUAUGUUUGUUCAGUGCCCAGAAUAGAGUCUGUAGAAUGUAGACAUUAAAUAAAUAUUCACUGAAUGAAUGAAUGAAGUCAUAUUUCUUUUUUACCUCUUGAACAGAAUAUUGUGAUGUCAUAGGACAAGAUCCUGAAAAAUAUUUUAUUAGUUUCAAUUUUAUAAACAGC
This is a long non-coding RNA of Equus caballus (horse), 2497 nucleotides long. NCBI's taxonomy places the organism in Eukaryota, Metazoa, Chordata, Mammalia, Perissodactyla, Equidae. The record is from Ensembl.